RNAcentral lists this ribosomal RNA (325 nucleotides) under uncultured eukaryote. RNAcentral describes it as "partial 18S ribosomal RNA". It matches the Rfam family "Eukaryotic small subunit ribosomal RNA", at positions 1470 to 1796 of the family's 1831-position model. The record is from RNAcentral.
CCCUUAGAUGUUCUGGGCUGCACGCGCGCUACACUGAUGCAUUCAACAAGUUCUACCUUGGCCGAGAGGCCUGGGAAAUCUUUCAAAUAUGUAUCGUGAUAGGGAUAGAUUAUUGCAAUUAUUAAUCUUGAACGAGGAAUUCCUAGUAAAUGCAGAUCAUCAUUCUGCGUUGAUUACGUCCCUGCCCUUUGUACACACCGCCCGUCGCACCUACCGAUUGAAUGAUCCGGUGAAGCCUCGGGAUUGUGCCCAGAGAACUUUAUUGUGAUUUGGGUGUGAGAACUUGUCUAAACCUUAUCAUUUAGAGGAAGGUGAAGUCGUAACA